Molecule: non-coding RNA, 113 nt
Organism: Gossypium hirsutum (cotton)
Lineage: Eukaryota; Viridiplantae; Streptophyta; Magnoliopsida; Malvales; Malvaceae
Source: Rfam
UGUUAAAAAUUCCAUCAAUUUAUACAGUUAAAAAAUAUGACGUGCCAUGUGUACCUCAUUCUGUUCUACAGGGACCAAUUUUUUAAUAGUAGAAAUAGAUGGGAUUUUUAACA